GAUGAAGAACGUAGCGAAAUGCGAUAAGUAAUGUGAAUUGCAGAAUUCAGUGAAUCAUCGAAUCUUUGAACGCACCUUGCGCCCUUUGGCUAUUCUGAAGGGCAUGCCUGUUUGAGUAUCAUGAACACCUCAACUCUCAUGGUUCGCCACGAUGAGCUUGGACUUUGGGGGUCUUGCCGGCCUACGGUCGGCUCCUCUCAAAUGAAUCAGCUUGCCAGUGUUUGGUAGAGUCGCAGGUGUGAUAACUAUCUACGCUUGUGGUUUUCUGCCAGAUAACCUUCAGUGAUGGAGGUUCGCUGGAGCUUAUAAAUGUCUCUCCCCAGUGAGGACAGCUUUUUGAACGUUUGAUCUCAAAUCAGGUAGGACUACCCGCUGAACUUAAGCAUAUCAAUAAGCGGAGGA
RNAcentral lists this unclassified non-coding RNA (402 nucleotides) under soil metagenome. RNAcentral describes it as "partial contains 5.8S ribosomal RNA, internal transcribed spacer 2, and large subunit ribosomal RNA". The stretch from base 1 to 121 matches the Rfam family "5.8S ribosomal RNA", at positions 35 to 154 of the family's 154-position model. The record is from RNAcentral.